Molecule: ribosomal RNA, 776 nt
Filed under: marine Alteromonadaceae bacterium RS.Sph.027
Lineage: Bacteria; Pseudomonadati; Pseudomonadota; Gammaproteobacteria; Alteromonadales; Alteromonadaceae
Description: bacterial SSU rRNA
Rfam family: Bacterial small subunit ribosomal RNA
Source: RNAcentral
UUUAUGACGCUGGCGGCAGGUCUUAACACAUGCAAGUCGAGCGGUAACAGGGGGUGCUUGCACCCCGCUGACGAGCGGCGGACGGGUGAGUAAUGCAUAGGAAACUGCCCAGUAGUGGGGGAUAGCCCGGGGAAACCCGGAUUAAUACCGCGUACGCCCUUCGGGGGAAAGCAGGGGAUCUUCGGACCUUGCGCUAUUGGAUGUGCCUAUGUCGGAUUAGCUAGUUGGUGGGGUAAAGGCCUACCAAGGCGACGAUCCGUAGCUGGUCUGAGAGGAUGAUCAGCCACAUCGGGACUGAGACACGGCCCGAACUCCUACGGGAGGCAGCAGUGGGGAAUAUUGGACAAUGGGGGCAACCCUGAUCCAGCCAUGCCGCGUGUGUGAAGAAGGCUUUCGGGUUGUAAAGCACUUUCAGUGAGGAGGAAAACUCUGCGACUAAUACUCGUAGGGCUUGACGUUACUCACAGAAGAAGCACCGGCUAACUCCGUGCCAGCAGCCGCGGUAAUACGGAGGGUGCAAGCGUUAAUCGGAAUUACUGGGCGUAAAGCGCGCGUAGGUGGUUUGAUAAGCGAGAUGUGAAAGCCCCGGGCUUAACCUGGGAACGGCAUUUCGAACUGUCAGGCUAGAGUAUGGUAGAGGGUAGUGGAAUUUCCUGUGUAGCGGUGAAAUGCGUAGAUAUAGGAAGGAACACCAGUGGCGAAGGCGGCUACCUGGACCAAUACUGACACUGAGGUGCGAAGCGUGGGGAGCAAAAGGAUAAAUACCCUGGUAGUCC